GAAACUGCCUGAUGGAGGGGGAUAACUACUGGAAACGGUAGCUAAUACCGCAUAACGUCGCAAGACCAAAGUGGGGGACCUUCGGGCCUCAUGCCAUCAGAUGUGCCCAGAUGGGAUUAGCUAGUAGGUGGGGUAACGGCUCACCUAGGCGACGAUCCCUAGCUGGUCUGAGAGGAUGACCAGCCACACUGGAACUGAGACACGGUCCAGACUCCUACGGGAGGCAGCAGUGGGGAAUAUUGCACAAUGGGCGCAAGCCUGAUGCAGCCAUGCCGCGUGUGUGAAGAAGGCCUUCGGGUUGUAAAGCACUUUCAGCGGGGAGGAAGGCGAUAAGGUUAAUAACCUCACCGAUUGACGUUACCCGCAGAAGAAGCACCGGCUAACUCCGUGCCAGCAGCCGCGG
RNAcentral lists this ribosomal RNA (403 nucleotides) under Klebsiella pneumoniae. RNAcentral describes it as "bacterial SSU rRNA". It matches the Rfam family "Bacterial small subunit ribosomal RNA", at positions 122 to 520 of the family's 1533-position model. Lineage: Bacteria; Pseudomonadati; Pseudomonadota; Gammaproteobacteria; Enterobacterales; Enterobacteriaceae. The record is from RNAcentral.